GGAAUCCUACGGGAGGCAGCAGUGGGGGAUAUUGCACAAUGGGGGAAACCCUGAUGCAGCGACGCCGCGUGAGCGAAGAAGUAUUUCGGUAUGUAAAGCUCUAUCAGCAGGGAAGAAAAUGACGGUACCUGACUAAGAAGCUCCGGCUAAAUACGUGCCAGCAGCCGCGGUAAUACGUAUGGAGCAAGCGUUAUCCGGAUUUACUGGGUGUAAAGGGAGCGUAGGCGGUAAGGCAAGUCUGAUGUGAAAGGCCAGAGCUCAACCCUGGAACUGCAUUGGAAACUGUUUAACUGGAGUGUCGGAGG
RNAcentral lists this ribosomal RNA (305 nucleotides) under uncultured bacterium. RNAcentral's name for it is "bacterial SSU rRNA". It matches the Rfam family "Bacterial small subunit ribosomal RNA", at positions 333 to 655 of the family's 1533-position model. The record is from RNAcentral.